GUCGAAUUCACGAAACCUACAAUCAUUAUAUUGCUGAACUUCAAGUUUAUCGUCAGAUAUUAAACGAGUACAGUUUAUAUUCGGAAAAUACAAAAUGAUUAAAUAUUUUUGUAUCGCGUUACUUGUAACAAUGUUUGUGGAAAACAGUGUACAAGGUGGAUGGGGAAAGGUAAAUUAUGCGAAUGAUAUGAGCCAGGUUAAAGAUUCAGA
This is a long non-coding RNA of Leptidea sinapis, 210 nucleotides long. RefSeq lists it as uncharacterized. The record is from RefSeq and is a predicted model, not a curated record. The transcript has 2 exons. NCBI's taxonomy places the organism in Eukaryota, Metazoa, Arthropoda, Insecta, Lepidoptera, Pieridae.